Non-coding RNA from Chlorocebus sabaeus (green monkey), 1238 nucleotides. The record is from RefSeq and is a predicted model, not a curated record. NCBI's taxonomy places the organism in Eukaryota, Metazoa, Chordata, Mammalia, Primates, Cercopithecidae.
UCCUACUCCCCACACCUUGCCUAGUUCACAAGACAGGAGGAGAGAGAAAGCAAAAAGUUAGAAAGAAACCAAAGUAAGAUAAAUAGCCAGACAACCUCAGCACCACCACCCUGCCCUAGGAGUUAAAGAAAUAAUAAUAAUAACAUCAAUCCCUGACCUAAACUACUUGUGUUAUCUGUAAAUUCCAGACACUGUAUGAAAAAAGCAUUGUAAAACUUUUUGUUCUGUUAGCUGAGGCAUGUAGCCCCCAGUCAUGUUUCCCAUGCUUGCUCGAUUUAUCACGACACUUUCACGUGGACCUCUUAAAGUUGUAAGCCUUUAAAAAGGCGAAGAACUUCUUUUGGGGGAAGCUGGGCUCUUAAGACGCGAGUCUGCCGACGCUCCCGGCGGAAUAAAAAACCUCUUCCUUCUUUAAUCCGGUGUCUGAGGAGUUUUGUCUGCAGCUCUCCUGCUACAUUUCUUGGUUCCCUGACCGGGAAGCGAGGUGAUUAACCAACUGUGGAAGCAGCCCCUUAGGCAGCUUAUGCCUGCCCUGUAGAGCAUCCCUGUGGGGGACGCUGGCCAGCUUGAGCGACGCGGAUCCUGAGAGCGUUCUCAGGUAGGCAUUUGCCCUGGUGGAACACCUCGUCAGAGCAGUGCACAGCAGGCCCCCACGGAGGAUCAAGGCAGUGGCUGAACACCGGGAAGGAACUGGCACUUUAAGUCCGGACAUCUGAAACUUGUUGCAGGUGUUGUGUCUUGGAUCCACCACAGUCAGCUAACACUGGCAGCUCAGGACAAGUGGACCAGCCAGCAGGACACAGAUCAUCCAACCCAGCUGAUCCUGAGACGAGACCAAGCUGCUGCUGAGGAUGACAGUCCUGGUCUGGUCACUCUGGAGGCUGACCAGUCUACCCACGACUGAAGCUUGAGGAGACAACAAGCCCUGCUCUAGUCACACACCGGCAGCUGACUAGUCUACGCAUGGCCGAAGCUUGAGGACUCAUCAAGCAAGUAAAUGGAGUUAAAAAUCUUAGGACUAAUAGUUUUCCUGUAAUACUGUUUUCCUAUUGUUCUGUCACUGUAUUCAACCUUUUUCCCAGGUAAGGACCUCUUUUGUCCUUGCUGAUAUGAAUAUGCUGUACAUUGUUUUGUUCUUGUUACCCCCGCAUGACCAUGCUAGAAGAAACACCUAUAUAAGGUGUCCCCACUGUACACAUACUACUUAGGAAACCCAGACCCAUCCAGCCCAGCAACAA